UUCCGGUUGAUCCUGCCGGAGGUCACUGCUAUUGGGGUUCGGCUAAGCCAUGCAAGCGGAGGGUGCGGUCGAAAGAUCGUGGCCCCGCACACGGCUCAGUAACACGUAGUCAACCUACCCUUGGGACGGGGACAACCUCGGGAAACUGAGGCUAAUACCCGAUAGGCGAGGGACGCUGGGAUGCCUCCUCGCCCAAAGCUCUGGCGCCCAAGGAUGGGACUGUGGCCUAUCAGGCUGUUGGUGGUGUAACGGACCACCAAACCUACGACGGGUACGGGCGAUGGGAGUCGGAGCCCGGAGAUGGGGACUGAGACAAGGCCCCAGGCCCUACGGGGCGCAGCAGGCGCGAAAACUCCGCAAUGCGCGCAAGCGUGACGGGGGGACCCCAAGUGCCGUUGGUCUUUCGAUCGACGGUUUUUAGGAAGUCUAAGAAGCUUCCGGAAUAAGGGCUGGGCAAGACUGGUGCCAGCCGCCGCGGUAACACCAGCAGCCCGAGUGGUGGCCACGAUUAUUGGGCCUAAAGCGCUCGUAGCCGGAUCAUCAAGUCCCUUGUGAAAUCGGGCCGCCCAACGGUUCGGCGUGCAAGGGAUACUGUUGGUCUUGAGGCCGGGAGAGGUCGGAGGUACUCCUGGGGUAGCGGUGAAAUGCUCUAAUCCUAGGGGGACCACCAGUGGCGAAGGCGUCCGACCAGAACGGACCUGACGGUGAGGGGCGAAAGCUAGGGGAGCGAACGGGAUUAGAUACCCCGGUAGUCCUAGCUGUAAAGCAUGCGGGCUAGGUGUCUAGCGCUCCUCGAGGGCGCUAGGUGCCGGAGGGAAGCCGUUAAGCCCGCCGCCUGGGAAGUACGGCCGCAAGGCUGAAACUUAAAGAAAUUGG
RNAcentral lists this ribosomal RNA (876 nucleotides) under uncultured archaeon. RNAcentral describes it as "bacterial SSU rRNA". It matches the Rfam family "Archaeal small subunit ribosomal RNA", at positions 1 to 868 of the family's 1478-position model. The record is from RNAcentral.